UGCGUAGGUGGUAUGGCAAGUCAGAAGUGAAAACCCAGGGCUUAACUCUGGGACUGCUUUUGAAACUGUCAGACUGGAGUGCAGGAGAGGUAAGCGGAAUUCCUAGUGUAGCGGUGAAAUGCGUAGAUAUUAGGAGGAACAUCAGUGGCGAAGGCGGCUUACUGGACUGAAGCUGACACUGAGGCACGAAAGCGUGGGGGAGCAAACA
This 208-nucleotide ribosomal RNA is filed under the name uncultured bacterium. Its description in RNAcentral is "partial 16S ribosomal RNA". It matches the Rfam family "Bacterial small subunit ribosomal RNA", at positions 568 to 774 of the family's 1533-position model. The record is from RNAcentral.